GAUGAACGCUGGCGGCGUGCCUAAUACAUGCAAGUCGAACGGUCUAGCGCAAGUUAGAUAGUGGCGAACGGGUGAGUAACGCGUUGGUGACCUGCCCCGAAGUGUGGGAUAACAGUUCGAAAGGAUUGCUAAUACCGCAUGUGGUCCGAGGGAUUAGAUGCCCUUUGACUAAAGGAGAAAUUCGCUUCGGGAGGGACCUGCGUCCCAUCAGCUAGUUGGUAGGGUAACGGCCUACCAAGGCAGUGACGGGUAGGGGACCUGAGAGGGUGGCCCCCCACAAUGGAACUGAAACACGGUCCAUACACCUACGGGAGGCAG
This 318-nucleotide ribosomal RNA is filed under the name uncultured Chloroflexota bacterium. RNAcentral's name for it is "bacterial SSU rRNA". It matches the Rfam family "Bacterial small subunit ribosomal RNA", at positions 28 to 351 of the family's 1533-position model. The record is from RNAcentral. Lineage: Bacteria; Bacillati; Chloroflexota.